This 378-nucleotide ribosomal RNA is filed under the name uncultured bacterium. Its description in RNAcentral is "bacterial SSU rRNA". It matches the Rfam family "Bacterial small subunit ribosomal RNA", at positions 30 to 410 of the family's 1533-position model. The record is from RNAcentral.
AUUGAACGCUGGCGGCAUGCCUUACACAUGCAAGUCGAACGGCAGCACGGGAGCAAUCCUGGUGGCGAGAGGCGAACGGGUGAGUAAUAUAUCGGAACGUGCCCAGUCGUGGGGGAUAACGUAGCGAAAGCUACGCUAAUACCGCAUACGAUCUAUGGAUGAAAGCGGGGGAUCGCAAGACCUCGCGCGAUUGGAGCGGCCGAUAUCAGAUUAGGUAGUUGGUGGGUAAAAGCUACCAAGCCUUCGAUCUGUAGCUGGUCUGAGAGGACGACCAGCCACACUGGAACUGAGACACGGUCCAGACUCCUACGGGAGGCAGCAGUGGGGAAUUUUGGACAAUGGGCGCAAGCCUGAUCCAGCAAUGCCGCGUGCAGGAUG